AUCGGCGACUCUAGCGGAGAGGGUACACCCGUUCCCAUCCCGAACACGGAAGUUAAGCUCUCCAGCCCCGAUGAUACUGCGGGAGAAGUCUCGUGGGAAAGUAGGACGUCGCCGCUU
Molecule: ribosomal RNA, 117 nt
Filed under: Thermogemmatispora tikiterensis
Lineage: Bacteria; Bacillati; Chloroflexota; Ktedonobacteria; Thermogemmatisporales; Thermogemmatisporaceae
Source: RNAcentral